Molecule: ribosomal RNA, 641 nt
Filed under: uncultured archaeon
Lineage: Archaea
Description: bacterial SSU rRNA
Rfam family: Archaeal small subunit ribosomal RNA
Source: RNAcentral
UUCCGGUUGAUCCUGCCGGACCUGACUGCUAUCGGAUUGAUACUAAGCCAUGCGAGUCAUUGUAGCAAUACAAGGCAUACGGCUCAGUAACGCGUAGUCAACCUAACCUAUGGACGGGAAUAACCUCGGGAAACUGAGAAUAAUGCCCGAUAGAACACUAUACCUGGAAUGGUUUGUGUUCCAAAUGAUUUAUCGCCGUAGGAUGGGACUGCGGCCUAUCAGUUUGUUGGUGAGGUAAUGGCCCACCAAGACUAUUACAGGUACGGGCUCUGAGAGGAGUAGCCCGGAGAUGGGUACUGAGACACGGACCCAGGCCCUAUGGGGCGCAGCAGGCGAGAAAACUUUGCAAUGUGCGAAAGCACGACAAGGUUAAUCCGAGUGAUUUGUGCUAAACGAAUCUUUUGUUAGUCCUAGAACCACUAACGAAUAAGGGGUGGGCAAGUUCUGGUGUCAGCCGCCGCGGUAAAACCAGCACCUCAAGUGGUCAGGAUGAUUAUUGGGCCUAAAGCAUCCGUAGCCGGCUCUGUAAGUUUUCGGUUAAAUCUGUACGCUUAACGUACAGGCUGCCGGGAAUACUGCAGAGCUAGGGAGUGGGAGAGGUAGACGGUACUCGGUAGGAAGGGGUAAAAUCCUUUGAUCUA